This is a long non-coding RNA of Biomphalaria glabrata, 544 nucleotides long. RefSeq lists it as uncharacterized. The record is from RefSeq and is a predicted model, not a curated record. The transcript has 3 exons. NCBI's taxonomy places the organism in Eukaryota, Metazoa, Mollusca, Gastropoda, Planorbidae.
UGUGUAGACUGUUUCACUCCAUUUAAAAAUAGCCUCAUUCUGGAUUUUAUUUCUCCACAGGUGCUGUUCAAUUUGUGAUCUGAACGCACACUAAAAAAAAAUUCUAAAUAGUUUUUCAAAGUAGGUUGAACUAGAACUUGAACUGGCCUAUUGAGAUACGAGGAUUUUGUGAACUUCUAAUAACGACAAACGUUACAUCGUCGAAGUCCCUUGAGGAUAAACGAGUAUCGAUCUUAUAUAGUUGACACAUACAGUCGAUGUACUCGAUUCCAACUAGGGAUCGAACCUUCAACUAAUCACUCAAGUGAAAUGACGUUUGAUCUGAGACAAGAAGCAGGAAAAACAGACGAAGAAAAUGGCUGUUGUUGAGGCGUUGUUGGUAAAUAGUUUACAGUUAGUCAGCACUGGAUCGCGUCAAUCGGCCUUGUUCCGUUUACACACAGGGCAUAGACUUCAAUCGGACUUAGUGAAAGUAAAUUAUGCAGUCUAAUUUUUCUAAUUGCCGCACCUGGCAUACUGCUUUGAGCUUUUGCAGAAGUUAAAU